RNAcentral lists this ribosomal RNA (621 nucleotides) under uncultured Bacteroidota bacterium. Its description in RNAcentral is "bacterial SSU rRNA". It matches the Rfam family "Bacterial small subunit ribosomal RNA", at positions 355 to 975 of the family's 1533-position model. Lineage: Bacteria; Pseudomonadati; Bacteroidota. The record is from RNAcentral.
UGAGGAAUAUUGGACAAUGGUCGAGAGACUGAUCCAGCCAUGCCGCGUGCAGGAAGACAGCCUUAUGGGUUGUAAACUGCUUUUGUACGGGAAGAAUAAUGCCCACGUGUGGGCAGAUGACAGUACCGUAAGAAUAAGCAUCGGCUAACUUCGUGCCAGCAGCCGCGGUAAGACGAAGGAUGCAAGCGUUAUCCGGAUUCAUUGGGUUUAAAGGGAGCGUAGGUGGACUUGUAAGUCAGUGGUGAAAUCUCUCAGCUUAACUGAGAAACUGCCAUUGAUACUGCAGGUCUUGAGUACAGAUGAUGUGGGCGGAAUAUGACAUGUAGUGGUGAAAUACUUAGAUAUGUCAUAGAACACCGAUUGCGAAGGCAGCUCACAAAACUGUAACUGACACUGAGGCUCGAAAGUGCGGGGAUCAAACAGGAUUAGAUACCCUGGUAGUCCGCACCGUAAACGAUGAUAACUCGUUGUUAGCGAUAUGACAGUUAGCGACCAAGCGAAAGCGAUAAGUUAUCCACCUGGGGAGUACGCCGGCAACGGUGAAACUCAAAGGAAUUGACGGGGGCCCGCACAAGCGGAGGAGCAUGUGGUUUAAUUCGAUGAUACGCGAGGAACCUUACC